GACGAACGCUGGCGGCGUGCUUAACACAUGCAAGUCGAACGGAAAGGCCCUGCUUUUGUGGGGUGCUCGAGUGGCGAACGGGCGAGUAACACGUGAGUAACCUGCCCUUGACUUUGGGAUAACUUCAGGAAACUGAGGCUAAUACCGGAUAGGAGCUCCUGCUGCAUGGUGGGGGUUGGAAAGUUUCGGCGGUUGGGGAUGGACUCGCGGCUUAUCAGCUUGUUGGUGGGGUAGUGGCUUACCAAGGCUUUGACGGGUAGCCGGCCUGAGAGGGUGACCGGCCACAUUGGGACUGAGAUACGGCCCAGACUCCUACGGGAGGCAGCAGUGGGGAAUAUUGCACAAUGGGCGGAAGCCUGAUGCAGCAACGCCGCGUGCGGGAUGACGGCCUUCGGGUUGUAAACCGCUUUCGCCUGUGACGAAGCGUGAGUGACGGUAAUGGGUAAAGAAGCACCGGCUAACUACGUG
This 468-nucleotide ribosomal RNA is filed under the name uncultured bacterium. RNAcentral describes it as "partial 16S ribosomal RNA". It matches the Rfam family "Bacterial small subunit ribosomal RNA", at positions 28 to 507 of the family's 1533-position model. The record is from RNAcentral.